CCCUUGAAAGCAAACAUACGGAAAGGAC
Molecule: non-coding RNA, 28 nt
Filed under: Rattus norvegicus (Norway rat)
Lineage: Eukaryota; Metazoa; Chordata; Mammalia; Rodentia; Muridae
Source: RNAcentral